UACGGGGGGUGCAAGCGCUAUUCGGAAUCAUUGGGCGUAAAGAGCGCGUAGGCGGUCUCUUAUGUCUGAUGUGAAAUCCAUCGGCUCAACCGAGGAAGUGCAUUUGAAACUGAGAGACUUGAGUAUGGGAGAGGGAAGCGGAAUUCCUGGUGUAGCGGUGAAAUGCGUAGAUAUCAGGAGGAACACCGGUGGCGAAGGCGGCUUCCUGGACCAAUACUGACGCUGAGGCGCGAAGGCGUGGGGAGCAAACAGG
RNAcentral lists this ribosomal RNA (253 nucleotides) under uncultured bacterium. RNAcentral describes it as "partial 16S ribosomal RNA". It matches the Rfam family "Bacterial small subunit ribosomal RNA", at positions 524 to 776 of the family's 1533-position model. The record is from RNAcentral.